UGAGGAAUAUUGGGCAAUGGACGCAAGUCUGAUCCAGCCAUGCCGCGUGAAGGAUGAAUGCCCUCUGGGUUGUAAACUUCUUUUAUAGGGGAAGAAAGAUACUUUUUUUAAGGUAGUUGACGGUACCCUAUGAAUAAGCACCGGCUAACUCCGUGCCAGCAGCCGCGGUAAUACGGAGGGUGCGAGCGUUAUCCGGAUUUACUGGGUUUAAAGGGUGCGUAGGCGGGCUAUUAAGUCAGAGGUGAAAUCUCCGGGCUCAACCUGGAAACUGCCUUUGAUACUAUUAGCCUUGAAUUAUGUUGAGGUUGGCGGAAUAUAACAUGUAGCGGUGAAAUGCUUAGAUAUGUUAUGGAACACCGAUUGCGAAGGCAGCUGGCUAAACAUAUAUUGACGCUGAUGCACGAAAGCGUGGGUAGCGAACA
RNAcentral lists this ribosomal RNA (422 nucleotides) under uncultured bacterium. Its description in RNAcentral is "bacterial SSU rRNA". It matches the Rfam family "Bacterial small subunit ribosomal RNA", at positions 355 to 774 of the family's 1533-position model. The record is from RNAcentral.